UACAGAGGUCCCGAGCGUUGUUCGGAUUCACUGGGCGUAAAGGGUGCGUAGGUGGCAUGGCAAGUUUGAUGUGAAAGCUCAGGGCUCAACCCUGAAAUGGCAUUGAAUACUGCUGUGCUGGAGGUUUGGAGGGGGGACUGGAAUUCUCGGUGUAGCAGUGAAAUGCGUAGAUAUCAGGAGGAACACCGGUGGCGAAGGCGGGUCUCUGGGCCGAUACUGACGCUGAGGAGCGAAAGCGUGGGUAGCAAACAGG
This 253-nucleotide ribosomal RNA is filed under the name uncultured bacterium. RNAcentral's name for it is "partial 16S ribosomal RNA". It matches the Rfam family "Bacterial small subunit ribosomal RNA", at positions 524 to 776 of the family's 1533-position model. The record is from RNAcentral.